AUUCAUCUUCGGGGCAGGGCGAAAUUCCCGACCGGCGGUGAUGAAGCGAAUAAGCUUCUAAGCCCGCGAGCCGAAAGGCAGGAUCCGGUGCAAUUCCGGAGCCGACAGUUAUAGUCUGGAUGGGAGAAGAUGAAG
RNAcentral lists this non-coding RNA (135 nucleotides) under Anoxybacillus sp. B7M1. RNAcentral describes it as "FMN riboswitch aptamer (RFN element)". It matches the Rfam family "FMN riboswitch aptamer (RFN element)". From Rfam's summary of the family: The RFN element is a highly conserved domain that is found frequently in the 5'-untranslated regions of prokaryotic mRNAs that encode for flavin mononucleotide (FMN) biosynthesis and transport proteins. Lineage: Bacteria; Bacillati; Bacillota; Bacilli; Caryophanales; Anoxybacillaceae. RNAcentral also lists the same sequence under 1 other name. The record is from Rfam by way of RNAcentral.